AGCAGCCGCGGUAAUUCCAGCUCCAAUAGCGUAUAUUAAAGUUGUUGCAGUUAAAAAGCUCGUAGUUGAAUUUCGGGGUCAGUAGGUUGGUCGUGCCACUGGUAUGUACUGGCCUCACUGAUUCCUCCUUCCUGAUGAACCGUAAUGCCAUUAAUUUGGUGUUGCGGGGAAUCUGGACUGUUACUUUGAAAAAAUUAGAGUGUUUAAAGCAGGCUAACGCUUGAAUACAUUAGCAUGGAAUAAUGGAAUAGGACGUUCGAUCCUAUUUUGUUGGUUUCUAGGAUUGACGUAAUGAUUAAUAGGGAUAGUUGGGGGCAUUAGUAUUCAAUUGUCAGAGGUGAAAUUCUUGGAUUUAUUGAAGACUAACUACUGCGAAAGCAUUUGCCAAGGAUGUUUUCAUUAAUCAAGAACGAAAGUUAGGGAUCGAAGACGAUCAGAUACCGUCGUAGUCUUAACCAUAAACUAUGCCGACUAGGGAUCGGAUGAUGUUAAUUUUUAAUGACUCAUUCGGCGCCUUACG
RNAcentral lists this ribosomal RNA (520 nucleotides) under uncultured Glomus. RNAcentral's name for it is "SSU rRNA". It matches the Rfam family "Eukaryotic small subunit ribosomal RNA", at positions 569 to 1092 of the family's 1831-position model. The record is from RNAcentral. Lineage: Eukaryota; Fungi; Glomeromycota; Glomeromycetes; Glomerales; Glomeraceae.